UACGUAGGGGGGAAGCGUUGUCCGGAAUCAUUGGGCGUAAAGAGCGUGUAGGCGGCCAGAUAGGUCCGUUGUGAAAACUGGAGGCUUAACCUCCAGAUGUCGAUGGAAACCAUCUGGCUAGAGUCCGGAAGAGGAGAGUGGAAUUCCUGGUGUAGCGGUGAAAUGCGCAGAUAUCAGGAAGAACACCCGUGGCGAAGGCGGCUCUCUGGGACGGUACUGACGCUGAGACGCGAAAGCGUGGGGAGCGAACAGG
Molecule: ribosomal RNA, 253 nt
Filed under: uncultured bacterium
Lineage: Bacteria
Description: partial 16S ribosomal RNA
Rfam family: Bacterial small subunit ribosomal RNA
Source: RNAcentral